GGGGCCAUAGCUCAGUUGGUAGAGCGCUUGAAUGGCAUUCAAGAGGUCAGGGGUUCGACUCCCCUUGGCUCCACCA
This 76-nucleotide transfer RNA is filed under the name Paracoccus denitrificans. RNAcentral describes it as "tRNA_Ala_GGC". It matches the Rfam family "tRNA". Rfam says of the family: Transfer RNA (tRNA) molecules are approximately 80 nucleotides in length. The record is from RNAcentral. Lineage: Bacteria; Pseudomonadati; Pseudomonadota; Alphaproteobacteria; Rhodobacterales; Paracoccaceae. RNAcentral also lists the same sequence under 149 other names.